Callithrix jacchus (white-tufted-ear marmoset) is the source of this 887-nucleotide non-coding RNA. The record is from RefSeq and is a predicted model, not a curated record. Lineage: Eukaryota; Metazoa; Chordata; Mammalia; Primates; Cebidae.
CUCGGCAUCUGGGGACGCUCUCUGCUGUCGGCGCCCGGCCCAGCUUCCUUCAAAAUGUCUACUGUUCAGGAAAUCCUGUGCAAGCUCAGCUUGGAGGGUGAUCACUCUACACCCGCAAGUGCAGAUGGGUCAGUCAAAGCCUACACCAACUUUGAUGCUGAACGGGAUGCUUUGAACAUUGAAACGGCCAUCAAGACCAAAGGUGUGGAUGAGGUCACCAUUGUCAACAUUUUGACCAACCGCAGCAAUGCACAGAGACAGGAUAUUGCCUUCUCCUACCAGAGAAGGCACUUGCAUCGGCACUGAAGUCAGCCUUAUCUGGCCACCUGGAGACGGUGAUUUUAGGCCUAUUGAAGACACCUGCUCAGUAUGAUGCUUCUGAGCUAAAAGCUUCCAUGAAGGGGCUGGGAACCGAUGAGGACUCCCUCAUUGAAAUCAUCUGCUCAAGAACCAACCAGGAGCUGCAGGAAAUUAACAGAGUCUAUAAGGAAAUGUACAAGACUGAUCUGGAGAAGGACAUUAUUUCGGAUACAUCUGGUGACUUCCGCAAGCUGAUGGUUGCCCUAGCAAAGGGCAGAAGAGCAGAGGAUGGCUCUGUCAUUGAUUAUGAACUGAUUGACCAAGAUGCCCGGGAUCUCUAUGACACUGGAGUGAAGAGGAAAGGAACUGAUGUUCCCAAGUGGAUCAGCAUCAUGACCGAGUGAAGCAUGUGCCACCUCCAGAAAGUAUUUGAUAGGUACAAGAGCUACAGCCCUUAUGACAUGUUGCUAAUGCAUUUAUUGAUUAUUCUGAAUAACCGUUUAGUUUUUUUGAAAUGUUUAAAAUCUAUUAGGUCGACCAUAUGGUUUACUCCUUUAAUCUAUUCAUGUUAAUAUAGUGAAUAACGU